UCGUCCAGAAUCCUGUCUAACCACUGCACCAGAAACUGACCCGAUGAGGCCAGAAAGGGCUUGAUCUCUACUUAUGCAUGGUAUCAAACCAGCAGGCGUCAGCAAGCUAUCUAAAAGCAGUGAAGAGAUCACAUGUUAUCAGUUCUGAUAAGGUAACUGAUCAGAUGCCCUGCAACCCUAGCUCAUUGUCCUGAAUAUGAUAUAUUUCUAAAUACCAUUUUUUGUUGGCAAGAAUGGGUUUAAUGGUUUUCUGAUGGGGAUUCUGUGUGUUGUUAUAUUUGGUUUGAAAAGGUUGUUAAACUAAUGGAUGAAGUGGAGUCCAUAUUCACAAAGCACUUUGCCAUUAUUGACAAGAAAAAGGCAAUGAAGUUUUUGAGGCCCCAACAAAACAAAGAUUCUCAAAUUGAUUGUGCAAGCAUAGAAUGUUAUUAUGCGUGACUCAGGCAUAGAAUGUUAUUAUGCAUAUACAGACAUAAAAAAGAAAAGCCUGCUGGUAAGUUGUAACUUGUAGCAGUCUCAAAUUGAUUGUGCUUGCUUAUCCUUAAUCUAUGGCACCUUAACUUCUAAUCAUCUACACCAACAUUUAUAACAGGAAAGGGAUCAGUCCCAGGCUGUUGUUGUUCACUAUCAAUGCCUAAAUAGCGUAUGUAUCAAGCAUAAUCCCAAAUCAAAUCUCACAAACCCAGAUGCAUAUUAAUCCAAACCAAUGUACAUACAGGAUAACUAGUUGGAUAUAUAAGCAGCACAUACCCUAAAACUCAAAGACCGAUAACACAUAAUUAAUCCGAACCAAUGUAACAAAUCCCUAAUUUCCAAAUUCACAGACACAUAGCAUCAGAAAUUUCAAAUUAUUAAAAAGGAACUGUAGUUAACCCAAUAAUAUCUCCACCACAAACACAAAAUAAACCUCAGGACUUUGUUGCUUUGUUACAAUCUCUUGGCCUACUUCUUAACAACAAUCAGGACAAAAUAUUUCAAUAAAUUUAAU
Prunus avium (sweet cherry) is the source of this 988-nucleotide non-coding RNA. Lineage: Eukaryota; Viridiplantae; Streptophyta; Magnoliopsida; Rosales; Rosaceae. The record is from RefSeq and is a predicted model, not a curated record.